Mugil cephalus (flathead mullet) is the source of this 3062-nucleotide long non-coding RNA. RefSeq lists it as uncharacterized. The transcript is spliced from 2 exons. The record is from RefSeq and is a predicted model, not a curated record. NCBI's taxonomy places the organism in Eukaryota, Metazoa, Chordata, Actinopteri, Mugiliformes, Mugilidae.
CUGGUACACCCUCGGCUUAUCUGCAUGAAGAGAACAACGUGGGAGUUUACUAAACACCCUCUAAUGGAGCACACAAUAGCAGUCACAAACUCAUCUCUACUCCACACGGCUCAGAACCCCUUCCCCCUCCUACUCCUUCUUUCUCAUUAAAAUCCCAAUGUGUGCGCUUCCCUCCCUCCAACACACACACGAAAAAUCAUUUAAAAAAGGCCAUUUAUUUUGUUUUAUUUCAUGUUUUUCUUAACACACUGAGGUGUCUCUAUGAAGUGUCCUUGCAAUGUUUUCGACCCUGAUAAGCCAAUUAAUGUCUGACCGAGUAGCUUAGACAUUGGUAACACAUACAUUAUUCCAUAAUCAACAAUAAACUGUACUUUGAAUAACACGUAUUGCCUAAAUGUCCUAGAUUUUGUCUGAAUGCUCCGUGCGUAAAAUAAUUAUGAGCGCUUGGUGCGCGCUGUGGCUCCGGCUAUUUUCAGCCGCUUUUCCCGACUUGAGAUCCCGCUGUUCCCGGCUCGGGCUCUCCCUUUACAGCACAACACAGCUCUGCUUUCGUAAUACGCCGUCAGCAGACCCUUUUCCUGCAUGCUGUUCUUUACGCGCUACCUCGCCCCUCGGACUGACCGGGAACAAAGAAAAGCGACACAAAAUGUGUUUCAGCAAAACGCUACAAAAUGAUUUCCUGACAAAAAUCCAAGGUGAAACUCACCAGACAUGAUGGCUGAAUUGAAGAGAGGAUCCCUGGAGAAGACCUGUGGGACUCCACAACGUCCUUUUCUGCCUCAGCAAAAUGGCCAAGAACGAAAUUUGUGCAAAAGUCUCCAAAAAUCUCAACACAAAUGUCUCACAGCAGAGUCAGAGCAUACAACAAUAUUGUAAUAUAGCUGGGGACAUAUUAGUUUGAGAUUUUCUCCCUCCAUGCCUACUAUUUAAAACCCCUAGAACUCAAUGAUUUGACAAUGAUUUGAUUGCGCGUUACUUUCAAUUUGAAUAUUCAGAGGCAAGCAAGUAAAAUCGAUUUUUCAAUAAAAAUCACCACGCAUGGACAUCGCAUAAGCCCCGCUUUAAUGUAAUAUAUUAGAAUUUUACACUUUGACCGAAAAAAAACAUACUUUUAUUAAUUUUAUCGUCCUUUUCCAAUAUCAGAGCAUCACACCCCCUCACCAAGCACUACAACACUGGGUGCUUGUCGUGCGCAAAUUUAACACCACAUUUCAACUUAUAUGCGCCACCACACACUUAUUACGACCUGUCUACAUGCCGACAGUGUGAUCAAUGACAUAUUUAUACUUUAGUUUAGAGAAAUAAUACAUAAAAUUGGGAAAAAAGUGGGCGUGGCAAAGGGCAGCAGCCAUCCCUGCAGGCCUGCAGCUGCAGUACUGAGUGGUCCCCUAGUGCUCUCGCCUGAGCUGAGCUGCUGAGCUAGGCUCAGCGCGUUUUUCAAACUUAUCCUUUACAAACAUUUCUUCUAUUGCAAAUGAAAAAUAUAAUUUUAGAACAAUUGCAUGUGCUUUUUCCCCCCGGGCGAGGAUGCAUAUCUCGGUAGAGUGUCUUAAACUGGUAUUUUUUAAUUUAGCAGUGUCACAACAGCAUGCUAAAUCCUAACACUCAAAUCAACCUGCACACUGGUUAUUAUUAUUAUUAUUAUUUUUUAAUGCACUUUUAAAAUGAUGCAUUAAAAACUUGGUGUCUCUUUCUGUGUAGCAGAGAACAAAGUCGUAGUAACGGCAGCCUGCACGAAUUCCUGCAACUAUUUGCGAAUGCGGUGGGCGCAUAUUAACAAAAGCAAAUUAUUAGAAGUAGCAGAAAAAAUACAAACAUUUCAUUUUGAUUAUCAUGUCACAGCUGCAAACACCUGAGACAAUUUGAUCGCACAGACUUGUCAUUCUUCAUUCAUUUAGUAUUAAUGCUAUUGUAAUAAUCGUAACUCUUUGAGUUAUAAUUACUAUAAAGGCAAUCAUGCUUCUUUCUAUCUGUAGCAGUAGUUGUAUCCACAGCUCAUUAAGCGUGAAUGAAAGGAUUUUUGAGAAACGCUUUGAGCAGCACGUUAAUGUGCUUCAUAUUCCGCCAUACCAAAACUUCCCUUCGCUCCUCUCAAGCACUUUUCCAUAAAGCCUCCUCUUAACUACAUUGCACGCUCUGUCCCUGUUCACUGCUCCUCGUGGAUGCUCCGCUUCUUUUCGCAGCGGCUCAGCUCUUGCUGCUGGAACCGCGGCGCGAUUGCUCCACCUAGUGGACAACAACAGGAACUCUCCUCUCCUCUAGCUAAACUGCAGCAAGAAUGUACUUGACAAAAUAAAAAAGUUCUUUUCUUUUCUUUUCUUUUCUUUUCUUUUCUUUUUUUUCUUUUCUUUUCUUAGUUUAAUUCCUGAAAACAGAUAAAUUCAUCCAUAAACCAUAAAACAUAGCAUGAAUAUUUAUUUAAUAUUUGGCAUUUUUUUUAGCCAAUUUCGUUUUUUAUUUGAUUCAUUUCACAGUGAACAACAAAUAUAAAACUUUUUACAUGCUAUAUAAACCAGUGAAAGACAAUAUACGUCGAGAGACUAUGCCAUAGAAAUAAACCGAUCAAAUAGAAGGAAGACCAAGAAAAAAAAAAUAUGUAGCUAUUAUAGAAAAAUGCUUGUUGUUUCUCUAAACUCUGUAUCAGAUACAUGGAAUAACUGCUUUAUUUUUUAAGUUAAGGAUUUUUAAUUAAAGAUUUGUUUGACAGGUGCUAUUGCUGUUAACAAACACACAAACACUUAAUGUGUGCUGAAAAUCAUUACAGGUGUACAAUUAGACAAUGCUACAGCAUAAACAAUUGUGACUGUAUUUUAAACAUAUUCAUUAAUUAAGUUUUUAUUGAUUUCACGGUGCUGUUUGGAUCUGUUUUUUUUUCCUGAUUAACAGUCCUCAUCACACUUCUCACAUCCUCAGUUAUUUGACUGUUGCAUUUUUUAAAUUAUCAUAUUAUCUCUCGCUUAAAUUGCACUUUUCUUAUAAAAGUACGGUGUACAUUUCAGAUUAACCUGUCAUCUGUUAUUUUCAUUUAAAGUGAUAAUUGUAAAAAUAAAUAGUUCACUCAG